CCUACGGGAGGCAGCAGUGAGGAAUAUUGGUCAAUGGACGAGAGUCUGAACCAGCCAAGUAGCGUGAAGGAUGACUGCCCUAUGGGUUGUAAACUUCUUUUAUAUGGGAAUAAAACGUUCCACGUGUGGGAUUUUGUAUGUACCAUAUGAAUAAGGAUCGGCUAACUCCGUGCCAGCAGCCGCGGUAAUCCGGAGGGUCCGAGCGUUAUCCGGAUUUAUUGGGUUUAAAGGGAGCGUAGGUGGAUUGUUAAGUCAGUUGUGAAAGUUUGCGGCUCAACCGUAAAAUUGCAGUUGAAACUGGCAGUCUUGAGUACAGUAGAGGUGGGCGGAAUUCGUGGUGUAGCGGUGAAAUGCUUAGAUAUCACGAAGAACUCCGAUUGCGAAGGCAGUUCACUGGACUGUAACUGACACUGAGGCUCGAAAGUGUGGGUAUCAAACAGGAUUAGAUACCCGAGUAGUC
This 460-nucleotide ribosomal RNA is filed under the name uncultured bacterium. Its description in RNAcentral is "partial 16S ribosomal RNA". It matches the Rfam family "Bacterial small subunit ribosomal RNA", at positions 338 to 795 of the family's 1533-position model. The record is from RNAcentral.